This 1009-nucleotide ribosomal RNA is filed under the name human gut metagenome. RNAcentral's name for it is "bacterial LSU rRNA". It matches the Rfam family "Bacterial large subunit ribosomal RNA", at positions 1913 to 2925 of the family's 2925-position model. The record is from RNAcentral.
UUAAGCCCCAGUAAACGGCGGCCGUAACUAUAACGGUCCUAAGGUAGCGAAAUUCCUUGUCGGGUAAGUUCCGACCCGCACGAAAGGCGUAAUGAUUUGAGCACUGUCUCGACAAUGCAUCCGGUGAAAUUGAAGUACCAGUGAAGAUGCUGGUUACCUGCGCCAGGACGGAAAGACCCCAUGGAGCUUUACUCUAGCUUGAUACUGGGAUUCGAUAUUGCAUGUACAGGAUAGGUGGGAGACUAGGAGACAUGAACGCCAGUUUGUGUGGAGUCGCCCUUGGGAUACCACCCUUGCAGUAUUGGGUUUCUAACAUGCAGCCGUGAUCCGGCUGGUGGACAAUGUCAGGUGGGGAGUUUGACUGGGGCGGUCGCCUCCGAAAGGGUAUCGGAGGCGCUCAAAGGUUCCCUCAGAAUGGUUGGAAACCAUUCGAAGAGUGCAAAGGCAGAAGGGAGCUUGACUGCGACACCGACGGGUGGAGCAGGUACGAAAGUAGGACUUAGUGAUCCGGUGGUAUAAAGUGGGAUUGCCAUCGCUCAACGGAUAAAAGCUACCCUGGGGAUAACAGGCUUAUCACUCCCAAGAGUUCACAUCGACGGAGUGGUUUGGCACCUCGAUGUCGGCUCAUCGCAUCCUGGAGCUGUAGCAGGUUCCAAGGGUUGGGCUGUUCGCCCAUUAAAGCGGUACGCGAGCUGGGUUCAGAACGUCGUGAGACAGUUCGGUCCCUAUCCGGCGUGGGCGUAGGAUAUUUGAGAGGAGCUGUCCUUAGUACGAGAGGACCGGGAUGGACAAACCUCUGGUGUAUCUGUUGUUUUACCAAAGGCAUGGCAGAGUAGCCAAGUUUGGCAGGGAUAAACGCUGAAGGCAUCUAAGCGUGAAGCCCCCCUCAAGAUAAGAUAUCCCAUCUUCGGAGUAAGACCCCUUGAAGACUACAAGGUUGAUAGGCUUUGUGUGUAAGUGUGGUAACGCACUCAGCUGAGAAGUACUAAUAGGUCGAGGACUUAUCCUU